AGGUCAUUUUAAAGAGACUUAUGGGACCCAAACCAGGAGCUCUUAACGCUGGGACCGAAGAUUGAAGUUUUCUGUAGGAUGUAGCAGGCACUGACCAGUGCUGUCUUCCUGAGGAGAUAUAAGA
Small nucleolar RNA from Phyllostomus discolor (pale spear-nosed bat), 124 nucleotides. RefSeq annotates it as small nucleolar RNA SNORA25. NCBI's taxonomy places the organism in Eukaryota, Metazoa, Chordata, Mammalia, Chiroptera, Phyllostomidae. The transcript has a single exon. The record is from RefSeq and is a predicted model, not a curated record.